Molecule: small nuclear RNA, 107 nt
Filed under: Octodon degus (degu)
Lineage: Eukaryota; Metazoa; Chordata; Mammalia; Rodentia; Octodontidae
Source: RNAcentral
AUGCUCGCUUCGGCAGCACAUAUACUAAAAUUGGAGCGAUACAGAGAAGACUAGCAGGGCCCCUGCACAAGGAUGACACGCAAAGUCGUGAAGCGUUCCAUGUUCUA